Non-coding RNA from Gossypium arboreum, 145 nucleotides. Lineage: Eukaryota; Viridiplantae; Streptophyta; Magnoliopsida; Malvales; Malvaceae. The record is from Rfam.
UAAUAAAAAUUUCAUCAGCUUCUACUGUUAAAAACUUGCGUUGCUGACAGAAUAACAGGACAAUUACAUGUGGCGUGUCAUGUGUAUUUUACUCUGACAUACAUGGACCAAUUUUUAACAAUAGAAAUGGAUGAAAUUUUUAAUA